RNAcentral lists this non-coding RNA (28 nucleotides) under Mus musculus (house mouse). Lineage: Eukaryota; Metazoa; Chordata; Mammalia; Rodentia; Muridae. The record is from RNAcentral.
UCCCCAACAACUCACAGGUCAAGGCAGU